AUGCAAUAGGUCUACUAUAUUUGUUGUAUGGAACGAUUGUAAGGUGUACAUGUCUAGCGGGCAGAUGUCAUGUGACCUUGACCUCAUUUUCAUGGUUCAGUGGUCAAAGUUAAAUUUUUGUGUUUUGGUCUGUUUUUCUCAUACUAUAUGCAAUAUGUCUACUAUAUUUGUUGUAUGGAACGAUUGUAAGGUGUACAUGUCUAGCGGGCAGAUGUCAUGUGACCUUGACCUCAUUUUCAUGGUUCAGUGGUCAAAGUUAAAUUUUUGAGUUUUGGUCUUUUUAUCUAAUACUAUAUGCCAUAGGUCAACUAUAUUUGGUGUAUGGAAAUAUUUUAUGAUCUUUAUGUCAGUCGCACAGGUUUUAUUUGAGCGUACUCUCAUUUUCACGGUUCAUUGCACAGUGUUAAGUUUUUGUGUUUUGGUCUAUUUUUCUUAAACUAUAAGUAAUAGGUCAACUAUAUAUGUUGUAUAGAAGCAUUGUUAGCUGUACAUGUCUGCCUGGCAUGGUUCAUCUGACCUUGACCUCAUUUUCAAGGUUCAUUGGUCUAUGUUUAGUUAUCUUGGUUAAUGUUAAGUUUAUGUGACAGUUGUUAUAAAGAUUAGCUUGAUACUAAGGACUAUCAACAUAAUAUCAAUGAUUAGUAUAGAAGGCGAGACAUUUCAGCGUGUGCACUCUUGUUACAUUUUG
This 688-nucleotide long non-coding RNA is filed under the name Mytilus galloprovincialis (Mediterranean mussel). The record is from RNAcentral. Lineage: Eukaryota; Metazoa; Mollusca; Bivalvia; Mytilida; Mytilidae.